This 420-nucleotide ribosomal RNA is filed under the name bacterium. RNAcentral describes it as "partial 16S ribosomal RNA". It matches the Rfam family "Bacterial small subunit ribosomal RNA", at positions 355 to 776 of the family's 1533-position model. The record is from RNAcentral.
UGGGGGAUAUUGCACAAUGGGCGAAAGCCUGAUGCAGCGACGCCGCGUGGGGGAUGAAGGCUUUCGGGUUGUAAACCUCUUUCGCUAUCGAACAAGGCCCGCUUAGGGUGGGUUGAGGGUAGGUGGAGAAGAAGCGCCGGCUAACUACGUGCCAGCAGCCGCGGUAAUACGUAGGGCGCGAGCGUUGUCCGGAAUUAUUGGGCGUAAAGGGAUAGGAGGCGGCUUGUUGCGCCUGCUGUGAAAACGCGGGGCUGAACUUCGGGCGGGGAGUGGGGACAGGCGGGCUUGAGUGUGGUAGGGGUGACUGGAAUUCCAGGUGUAGCGGUGGAAUGCGCAGAUAUCUGGAGGAGAACCGAUGGCGAAGGCAGGUCACUGGGCCAUUACUGACGAUGAGGAGCGAAAGCAUGGGUAGCGAACAGG